UACGAAGGGGGCUAGCGUUGUUCGGAAUUACUGGGCGUAAAGCGCGCGCAGGCGGUCUUCCAAGUCAGUGGUGAAAGCCCCGGAGCUCAACUCCGGAACUGCCAUUGAAACUGUUAGACUUGAGGAUGAGAGAGGUGAGUGGAAUUCCCAGUGUAGAGGUGAAAUUCGUAGAUAUUGGGAAGAACACCGGUGGCGAAGGCGGUUCUCUGGGCAUUACCUGACGCUGAGGAGCGAAAGCAUGGGGAGCGAACAGG
Molecule: ribosomal RNA, 254 nt
Filed under: uncultured bacterium
Lineage: Bacteria
Description: partial 16S ribosomal RNA
Rfam family: Bacterial small subunit ribosomal RNA
Source: RNAcentral